AACGAACGCUGGCGGCAUGCCUAACACAUGCAAGUCGAACGGGAACUUCUGGUUUAGUGUGGCACUUGUGCGUAACGCGUUGGAGCCUGCCCUUAUGUUCGGCAUAACUCCCCGAAAGAGCUGCUGAUACCGGAUAAUGUCUUCGGACCAAAGAUUUAUCGCCUUUGUGUGUGCCGGCGUGGGCUUAGCUCGUUGUUAGGGUAAAAGCCUACCAAGGCGACGAUCAGUAGCUUGUCUGAGGGGAUGAGCAACCACACAGGGACCGAGAAAAGGCCCGGACUCCUAAGGGAGGAAGCAGUGGGGAAUAUUGGACAAUGGGCGAAAGGAUGGUGAAGCAAGGCCGCGUGAGUGAUGAACGCCUUAGGGUUGUAAAGCUCUUUUACCCGGGAUGAUAAUGACGGUACCGGGAGAAUAAGCACCGGCUAACUCCGUG
This 433-nucleotide ribosomal RNA is filed under the name uncultured bacterium. RNAcentral describes it as "partial 16S ribosomal RNA". It matches the Rfam family "Bacterial small subunit ribosomal RNA", at positions 29 to 507 of the family's 1533-position model. The record is from RNAcentral.